Molecule: ribosomal RNA, 262 nt
Filed under: Amblyomma ovale
Lineage: Eukaryota; Metazoa; Arthropoda; Arachnida; Ixodida; Ixodidae
Description: partial 16S ribosomal RNA
Source: RNAcentral
CAACAAUAUUAAUUAAGGACAAGAAGACCCUAAGAAUUUUAAAAACUAUAGUUGUAAAAUUAUUAAUUAUAGUUUUUUAAUUGGGGCGAUUGAUAAACAUAGAAAACUUUAUUUAUAAUAAAAAAUGAACCAGUAUUAUUGGUUUGAUGAAUAAAAAUACUCUAGGGAUAACAGCGUAAUAAUUUUUAAUAGCUCUUAUUGACAAAAUAGUUUGCGACCUCGAUGUUGGAUUAGGAUUCUUUUUUGAUGAAGAAGUCAAAAG